GACGAACGCUGGCGGCGUGCUUAACACAUGCAAGUCGAACGGAAAGACCCUGCUUUUGUGGGGUGCUCGAGUGGCGAACGGGUGAGUAACACGUGAGUAACCUGCCCUUGACUCUGGGAUAACUUCAGGAAACUGGGGCUAAUACCGGAUAGGAGCUCCUGCUGCAUGGUGGGGGUUGGAAAGUUUCGGCGGUUGGGGAUGGACGCGCGGCUUACCAGCUUGUUGGUGGGGUAGUGGCUUACCAAGGCUUUGACGGGUAGCCGGCCUGAGAGGGUGACCGGGCACAUUGGGACUGAGAUACGGCCCAGACUCCUACGGGAGGCAGCAGUGGGGAAUAUUACACAAUGGGCGGAAGCCUGAUGCAGCGACGCCGCGUGCGGGAUGACGGCCUUCGGGUUGUAAACCGCUUUCGCCUGUGACGAAGCGUGAGUGACGGUAAUGGGUAAAGAAGCACCGGCUAACUACGUG
This 468-nucleotide ribosomal RNA is filed under the name uncultured bacterium. RNAcentral's name for it is "partial 16S ribosomal RNA". It matches the Rfam family "Bacterial small subunit ribosomal RNA", at positions 28 to 507 of the family's 1533-position model. The record is from RNAcentral.